This 465-nucleotide ribosomal RNA is filed under the name Vreelandella stevensii. RNAcentral's name for it is "partial 16S ribosomal RNA". It matches the Rfam family "Bacterial small subunit ribosomal RNA", at positions 338 to 795 of the family's 1533-position model. The record is from RNAcentral. Lineage: Bacteria; Pseudomonadati; Pseudomonadota; Gammaproteobacteria; Oceanospirillales; Halomonadaceae.
CCUACGGGGGGCAGCAGUGGGGAAUAUUGGACAAUGGGCGAAAGCCUGAUCCAGCCAUGCCGCGUGUGUGAAGAAGGCCUUCGGGUUGUAAAGCACUUUCAGUGGGGAAGAAAGCCUUGGGGCUAAUACCCUCGAGGAAGGACAUCACCCACAGAAGAAGCACCGGCUAACUCCGUGCCAGCAGCCGCGGUAAUACGGAGGGUGCGAGCGUUAAUCGGAAUUACUGGGCGUAAAGCGCGCGUAGGCGGUCUGAUAAGCCGGUUGUGAAAGCCCCGGGCUCAACCUGGGAACGGCAUCCGGAACUGUCAGGCUAGAGUGCAGGAGAGGAAGGUAGAAUUCCCUGUGUAGCGGUGAAAUGCGUAGAGAUCGGGAGGAAUACCAGUGGCGAAGGCGGCCUUCUGGACUGACACUGACGCUGAGGUGCGAAAGCGUGGGUAGCAAACAGGAUUAGAUACCCCAGUAGUC